Molecule: non-coding RNA, 46 nt
Organism: Acyrthosiphon pisum (pea aphid)
Lineage: Eukaryota; Metazoa; Arthropoda; Insecta; Hemiptera; Aphididae
Source: Rfam
AAAACGGUCCUUUUCAGGACCACCAAUUUUAUUUAACAUACGACUG